CGUCUCCGUCCGGCGGAGUCCGGCACUGACACUGCAGGAUCGGGAGGCGCCGCAGAUUGCCGAUGGUACCCGAGAGCAGCGCCAUCUGUCUGUGCUCAACUGGGAAAGAUAACACUACUGAGGUGGUCAUGAAGCAAUGAAAUCACCAAAAAUCAUGCCAUUCCAAGAAUUCGAAGAUGCUGCUUCUUGAUGCUGUGUGUUCAGCCAAAAACCGAGGAUGCAGAAGAUUAAGUUGUAGCAUUGCAGCAAAGGGGCUGUAUGAAUAUCAAAUAUGCAUGUGUGAGUGUGUUUCAUUUUUCUUUUACAUGCACAGAGAUAAUGGAAUAAUGAAUGCAAUGCAUCAAAAUGGCGGCAGUGUUGUACAGUGGCUAGGGAACACGGCUGAUUGCAUGAAGGUUGCAGGUUCAAUUCCCAGGACAGACACUGCUAUUGCAGCCUUGAGCAAGGUACUGAACAGCUUCAGUAUAUAUCCAGCUGUAUAAAUGGAUACCAUGUGGAAAACCUUGUGCAACAAUUUGCGCAAGUCCAUUAGGAUAAAAGCGUCUACUAAAUGCCUGUAAUGUAUAGGUUAUGAAAUAAUCAGUAUUCUGCAUGCAUAAAUGGAAAUAUUAAAGAAAGAUCAUAUUUUUCACAAAUAAAAGACUGUUUUUCAAAACAGGAUGACCAAAUAUAACCACACAUUAUAACACCUUUUUAACUGCUGGAAUAUAGUUGCCACAUUUGGAUGUCAUGUGGUAUGACUUCAAAAAAAACUAUGAAUAUUAAGUUUUAUCUGCAAAUAUAAAUUUUGAUUAGAAAUUUGAUAGUGAACUUUGGUGGGAAGAAUGCCUGUUUUUUAGGUGACCAAUUCUGUGCCUGUAAAAUUUGACUGAACUUGAAAACAUCAUGUGGUGAGACCAAGUAUCAUGUGGUGCAACUAUUGCAGAACGUUGUACAUGAUAGAUAUAUGUCCUGCAUUGGCAGUUUCUGUGCAUUUAUAUUUAAUUCAUGAUUUAUAUACAUACAGUUCUUUAUUUUAGUAUAAGUUUUAGUAUAA
This is a long non-coding RNA of Anguilla anguilla (European eel), 1036 nucleotides long. RefSeq lists it as uncharacterized. Lineage: Eukaryota; Metazoa; Chordata; Actinopteri; Anguilliformes; Anguillidae. The record is from RefSeq and is a predicted model, not a curated record. The transcript is spliced from 3 exons.